GACGAACGCUGGCGGCGUGCCUAAUACAUGCAAGUCGAACGCUGAAGGAGGAGCUUGCUUCUCCGGACGAGUGGCGAACGGGUGAGUAACGCGUAGGUAACCUGCCUUUUAGCGGGGGAUAACUAUUGGAAACGAUAGCUAAUACCGCAUAACAGUAGAUAUUGCAUGAUAUCUGCUUGAAAGGUGCAAUUGCUUCACUACCAGAUGGACCUUCGUUGCAUUAGCGAGUUGGUGAGGUAACGGCUCACCAAGGCGACGAUACAUCGGCGACCUGGGACGGGGGUCGGCCCGACUUGGAAUGGGGCACGGCCCAAACUCCUACGGGAGGCAGCAGAAAGGAAUCUUCGGGAAAGGAGGGAAGUCUGACCGAGAAACGCCGCAGGAGGGAAGAAGGAUUUCGGAUCGUGAAACUCUGUUGUAAGGGAAGAACGAGUGUGAGAGUGGAAAGUUCACGUUGUGACGGUAACUGACCAGAAAGGGACGGCUAACUACGUG
This 495-nucleotide ribosomal RNA is filed under the name uncultured bacterium. RNAcentral describes it as "partial 16S ribosomal RNA". It matches the Rfam family "Bacterial small subunit ribosomal RNA", at positions 28 to 507 of the family's 1533-position model. The record is from RNAcentral.